RNAcentral lists this long non-coding RNA (1382 nucleotides) under Felis catus (domestic cat). Its description in RNAcentral is "lncRNA (ENSFCAG00000051043.1)". The record is from RNAcentral. Lineage: Eukaryota; Metazoa; Chordata; Mammalia; Carnivora; Felidae.
CUUCACCCGGUUAGUUCCUAUUUGUCUUCACAUCAGCAUAAAAGUCAUGCACAUCCUAAGGGAAACCGUAUUGUCUCAGUGGUGACCUUACUAUGGCCACCUGCCUUCUGGAGCAGAUAAGUCCCCAGCACCCAGCAUACAGUCUCAUGGUCCCCUGUGACCUUUGAAGACAGUGUCAGAGUGACAUCUGUAUAACGAUUUCAUUAAUAUUCAUCUCAUCCCUAGAUUGUAAGCUCCCCCACCGAAUCACUGCCAAAUACAGAGGUACCAGCACAUGGUGGAUGCUAAAAAGAAUGUGUUGUACGAAUAAGUGAAAAAAAUAAAUUAAUGAAUGAGUGAAAGAGUAUCCAUAGCGGAGGAAACCAAAUAUUCAAAACACAGAGGUGGGGGAAAAGCAUGACACAAUCAGGAAACAAAAAAGCAGCUUAAAAUGUCUGGAUUGGGGGCGCCUGGGUGACUCACUCAGUUGAAUGUCUUACUCUUGAUUUCGUCUCUGGUCGUGAUCCCAGGGUUGUGGAAUCCACCCCUGUGUCGGGCUCCAUGUUGAGUGUGGAGCCAGCUUAAAAUUCUCUCCCUCUCUCUCUCUCUCUCUCUCUCAAAAAUAAAUACGGAUUACAAAAAUUAAAAAAUAUAAAGCUAUUAUUGGAAAACGAACACAAUAAUGAGAAUGUUCUAUCUGCUCCAGAUUUUUAUUUAUUUUUAUUUAAAAAAAAUUUUUUUAACGUUUAUUUAUUUUUGAGACAGAGAGAGACAGAGCAUGAACGGGGGAGGGGCAGAGAGAGGGAGACACAGAAUCUGAAACAGGCUCCAGGCCCUGAGAUGUCAGCAGAGAGCCCGAUACGGGGCUCGAACUCAGGGACUGCGAGAUCGUGACCUGAGUCGAAGUCGGCCGCUUCGCCUGGGUGGCGACUGAGCCACCCAGGCGCCCCUGCUCCAGAUUUUUAAUCAGGGGCUUAAUCUUUGAAGUCACAACACAACUCUGCUGCCUAGAACUUUCUUAUCCUCCAUUUUAAUCAAUUAUACAGUCAUACAAAUGUUGGAACAUUUAAAAGAUCUUUCUCAAUUAACCCCUUCCUCACCUUAUAGAUAAGAAAUCUGAGCUCCAAGAAGGACAAAUGACUUAAACAAGGUUAUGUAACUGGUAGUGGUGCCAGGGAGACCUCGCUCUCAGUCCAAUCACACGUCUUUUUUUCUUAGUUGAAUUGACAUCUUCCUUCCUGAAACUCCCAGUUUUUUUUUUUUAUUUAAAGAACAAAAAUACAUUAAAAAGAAGAUCCAUUUAUCUUUCACAUUAAGUCCUAUAACUAUUACUAGAUUGUAAGAAAUGUUUUUAAAAGGCUAAAAAAAAUAAACAACUGCAUCUUUCUGUUUCUUAGUGAAAA